CCUUAAUGGCACUUCAGCCAAUAUCUCCAUGAAUAUACGUAUAAGUUAGGAUCAUAAAAACACAUUCAAAUUCUGCUUUUGCUUUGCUUUGAGCUAUGUUCAACAAUUUCUUGUGCACUAAGUAAAAAAAUGUGAGAUCAAAUGAAUCACCAAAUUUCCUCUAGUUUCCUGAUGCCACCCACAACCUGUAGACUCAGAUACAAACUGUCUCACAUUCACUUUAAAUAUGUACCUUUUUCUUAUUUUUUUUUUUAACUUUAGGGUAUUUUAACAAGCUUUAUGUAAGUUCGCAAACAAACUUGUUCCUGUCAAUAUUCAGUACGUGCAGCUUUCAAAGUGCUGCUUUUCAUUGCAUCUGCUGUCAUCAUGUCUUACAACUGGAAACUGGGCUUCUGGAUACUAUAAUAAUACACAUUAUUAUAAAAAUAAAGAGCAAAAUAGGAAAUUUUGGGUCACAGCUGCAAGGCUGUUGCCAAAUCACUAACCUCCCCCCUCCAAAACAGCAAUAAAAAUGGUCUCUGGAUUUUCCAGCACUGAAGGCAACGAAGUACAGAAGUUACAUUUUGAGAUGGAAUCCAGAAGCUGCCAAAAUGAAGAUAUGCAAUCUCCACUAGGGAAGAGGCGAUGAAAACCCGAGUACGUAGUCUGACAAGUGAAUCAUGUCAACCAAAAGAAAGCAACAAAAAUCAACUUGUAAAAAGCAUCUCUGUGUGUCAAAUUGUUCAAAGCAGUGGACACAUUGCUGAAACGAGUUCAGUAAAGAUGAACAUCUCAUCAUAGCUUUCAAGAGUUGAAGCUGCAUACCAGAAAGGGAAUGAAAUUCCAUAUCACACUGCAGCUGGCAGUGUAGGGGUGAUCACAGUAUGGGAACACUGCCUGCAGUGGAUCCUCAUCCUCUGCACUCAGGAGAGCCAUUAUGUUUGAUAGCCAAGACACUGGAAUCAAACGUGUUUAUUUUUCUAAGUGCACUGAGGAGCGAAUAUCACACACACAGAUGUGGCAGUCAUGCAGAUUGGUGGCAUGUAACAAUGGUGGGAAAGACAGUGGGGUUUCCAAAACCCCUUUGCAGACUGCUCAGUUCGAUGACUUUGCUACAGGGCCACAUCUACAAUUCCUGUAAAUUCCAUGUUGGGCAGCUACAAAAGUCCUGCUCCUCUAAUGUCCUGAGCUUGUUACUGGAGCUGUGGGGAGCAGGGCCUUUCACUGGAAAAUAAAAAUACCUAUAUGCUUUGGGACUACUGUGUGUUAAAAGAGUCUUUGCUUGUAAGACAGCUACUUUUUACUCUAAAUGACACUUUCAGUGAAGCGAGCAGCAGAGGAAUCAGUUCUCAGUAGUCCUGCACAGUACCUAGCGGAUGGUGAAUGUAUUACAUAUUUUCAAGAACUUUGAAGAAUCCCAUUGCAAAAAGAAAAAAAAGCGGCGAUUCCUUCUAAAGGAUGUGGUGUAAUGGACACAACUCAUCCAUCAUGCAACUGAGUGGCCUUCUGUUUUCUUGCUUCCAAAAGUAACUAGAUGCAAGAAGGUGCAAGGGUCUGAGAAAUACAACUAAAGAAAGAUGUAGUAGAUAAAGACAAAACCCAAAGAUUAGGCUGAAUGCAUCUGAACAGCGAUUUUGGACAGAAUUACACCAUAUUUUUAUUGUUCACAUGAAUAUUUUCACGUUUCAAAUGUAACUUGAGUAUUCAACUGUGCUUGGAUUACUGAUCUAAGCGCUGCUAGCUGUUAGUAAGCUUUCAUAUGAUUUAUUCUGUCAACAUCUCUGAGCUUUUAUAGAAAAAUAUGAGAAUGCAAAUUAUUAGAAAUUAUGUAAAGGGGGCUGAUCAAAUUACAGAUAAUAUGGAAAAACACAUUAGAACUUAAUUAACUGUAUGCAGGCCAAAGAUGAAACAAUUUCACAUUAAAAAACAACAACCAACAGCUCACCAGCGAAAAGAAAUAUGUUUUCAGUUGACACACAUGAAGGAAAAAAUAGGGCUCGUAAUUAAUACCUCUUCUUAGCAAUGCUUUUGCAAGCACAAGAACUGUUUUCUAUAGCUGCCAUAUUAAGCAAUGAUUCAUAUGGGAGGUUUGGUGUGGUGCAUUCAACAAACGGUGCUGGAAACCCUGGGCAGAGCACUCUGUGAGCGCUGCUGGGUGCCUGGCCCUGCCAAGCCACAUGGAGGCACGUCAAGAUGGCACCGAGCCCAGCUGGGGCUUUCUGCCUACCAAACAUGAGCGUGAUGGGAAUGUGGCCAAUUCAAACACUCUGUGUUUCUACUGAAGGAAUAAAAGCAAAUGAGAAUUUGUUGUUCCUAUUAUUCUCUCAUUGCUCCACAUUAUGCAGAGGACAAAGUAUUCUGUUUUACUGCUGUUGCAUUGAAAAUAUAUAUACAUAUACUACUAGUGGCUGUGCUUCUGAGUCAUGCAGUAUAUUCAGCACAUUCCUGAGAGCCUAAAUAGCCCCUGCUGAAACAGAACUAUUUAUCCCUUUAAAAGCAUGCACAGCUUUAGCAUCUUUACCACAAUGAGAUACUGAUUCUGAUUUUUUUUUUUUUGGUGGCUCAGUUAUUUUCUCUGUCAUUCUCCUUUUUAUUCAAAUAAACUAUUUCUAUGUAAAUCGGAGUUACGCUAAUCAAAACUCCCCGUCCCAAAAUGUGCAACUUUCUCACUCAGAAGUCACUGUAACUCGCAUGAAUGGUCCCGCGUGACUUCAGCAUUUUAUAAGGCAAGUCAGUAAGAGGCAAAAUGUAAGUCCAGGGAACUCUGCCUGUCAACUGCAAUUUAGUCACUGCUAUUGAUAACUGAUGCACUCACGGAGUAAGGAAGCAAAAAUGGUAAACAACAUCAACAACAAAAACCAAACACGGCACCAUUUUCAUAAUGAGCAAAAAGCUGGGUGCAAAAGGUCAAAAUCUAGACAGAAGGAAGAUUAAUAUUUUCUCUGUGUCCUUCUGUUGUCUGUAUCACCUGGAGCAGGCAGACCUGGACUUUGUUACAGGUAAAUAAUUACAGUUGUAUCUGCCAUAAAUAUCCACUUGAAGGGGCUACUGCAAAAAAAUUGAGAUUGUAUCUCCAAGCAACUGUCAAAUGGCUAGAAUAAAUUUAGAGGACUUGAAAUACUGAUGUACACUUUCUAUCAUAGAUAUCUCUUGGUCUAGACUUUCAGGCUGCGUUUUGACAGAACACAUUGGAUGACUGAGAAAUUAAGGACUCAGGACCAAAAAAAAUUACAUAGUGUUGGCACUUGUGGUUUGCGUCUUCUUUACCUGUGGUGCUAGCAAACAGGAAGUCAUUGCUUUGCAGCAGACCCAGAAAUAUCAACAGGACAUAUCCUUUUGCAUUUAAAACACAGAAGGCAAUAAAUCGUAGACUGUGAUGGCAAACCUAAAGAGGUCACUGAGUAAUGGUAGGCAUAAUAUCUGUUCUUUUCAGUGCUAUAAUAAAUCUGACAGUGUUCUUUUUUAAAGUUGGGAUGCUUCUGUACAGACUGAAGAUCAAACGUUUCUUUGCCCCUAAAAAGGAAAAAAAAAAAAAAAAAAAAAAAAAAAAAAGCACACACACGCACUUCAAUCACCUGUUUUUCAUUUUGCAUAUUCAGUGGAAUAUGGAACAAUAGAGAGUGAAAUAAUAUGCCUGUCUCUUUUCGUGUCGGUGAUAUUCUCAUAAGCCUGGACUGAAUGAGAAAAAUCUGUCCCUUAUUUAUAAGAAGAGAUAGGAAAGUCAUUCAAACUUUGAACUUGCUCAUAUGUUUACUCACCUCCCCUGCUUUCUCAAACACACACUAAAGCAUCAUUAUGGGGGCUGGGCUGACUGAAAAGCUCUAAUAUUAGGUUAGACCAUGGCCCCAGCAGGUAGCACUGACCUCCCUGUGGCCAUAUCUGACCAUACCAGUUUUCAGGGCUCACACGAUGCCUGUUCCAGAGGACUACAUUUCUCAGAUCAGAUCUUUGGGUUAUAGUCUAAGGCAUUAAGGCUUCAGGGCCUCCAGCUUGGUAAACUUUUCCUUAAUAUGUAACAUAUGCAGAAAUACUGUUCCUCAGAACAAACACGUUGCCGACACAUAACAGUUCUACCAACCAGACGUAUUUCCACCUGUGCUUGCAAUGCUGCUUGCUGCUCCCCCUGAGGCUGAACUUAGCUGCCUGACAGUGCAAAGCUCUUUGCUUCUAUAACAGCUACUAUAAGAUUGUCACAGCUGUUCCCCAAGCCAUGGCUUACCUGGCUUACCGGUUAGGCCACAUGUUACUGCUUAGAAGAAUAAUCCAGGAAUAUUCAGCAGAACAAGCUGAGAAAAGCAGCACCACUGAGCUGCCAGCUACAGAGGGUACUGAGUAAGAGGAAAAAAAAGACAAGCAGAUGGAAUGAAUAGAUACUGGUCACCAUGACUAGACCCAGGAACAGCUUUGGGCCCAGGAAAUGGGUGUUUUUCAGCAUCUGAAGCAGAACUGCAGCCUGAGGGUUGUCUGCCAAGCCUCUGUCUCACCAUCUGUGAGACUGAAGAUGCAGAAAUGCAUGAUACAGGUUUUUGUCUGCCGCCUUUAUCUAGACAUUGGGAACUAUUUAUACUUCUCGCUUCCAUUAAUCUUUUCCCACUUCUGUGUUACAACAAGCAGAAAUAGCUUGUUGUAGGGAACCAUAUGUGUCAAAGAUUCUCACAAGAGCAAGCUGUAACCCAUCGUCGUGGCUCAUUUUUUGCACUGAUGUCUAGCAAAGCAAAUUCAGUCCCUUCGGCUCCUAUGACUACUGAGCAAUGCGCCCUCUUCCCUGGCCAAGUUCUGCAGCCCAGUCAUCACCUCUUCUGCUCUGAAACAUCUGCUUCUGCCACCACUCUGAUACUGGUACAAAUGUUCAUUCUUCAGUCUUCCAGCAAUUAUCUGAGCACUUUUUCUCAUGCUACCAUUUCUGUAAAGAAGGAGCUCCCUGGGAACAACCACCAAGCCACUAAAUCUGUCUUCAUGACACUUUACUAUCUGCAGAUGGUGUGUGACAGACUCUACUUUUCCAAAUGAGCAUAUAAUCUUUGGGAAUUUUUUUUUUUUUGACUGCAUCUAUGCACUAUAUUCAUGAUACCCCCACUAUGAACAGAAUAUAGAUUUAACAUUUUAUCUUAUCUCAAGGACUGAAAUUCACAAUCAACCAUUAAGUAUAAAUAAUAUAAGAAUACUUGCUUUGAUACUGGUCAAAUAACAGCUUCAAAGGGCACUGGUAUCGAGGGAAAGAUUCCUGUGGGCAUCACGCAAGGUCAGUAGAUUCUAGAUCCAAGUCAUGGUCUAAAUUAGCACUUUUUUUUUUUUAACACAUGAAUUUAGAUUGAUAAUAUUUAUACGUCACUCAUUUGCCACUGCAAAGCCGCCUGCAUAACAACAGGACAACACUUUUGUCACCAAGCAGUGAUUGUAUCUUCUAAAUCUUGUCAGUGACUUCAGAGCCUGCAGCUGGAUGUUUAAAGGUUCCAAGCCAGUUAGCGACUGAUGCAGCUGCUGUUUGCACUGAAUUUUGAAAAGAACAUGAUUAAUUCAGUCCAGGGCUGCAAUGAAGGUUAGUAACACUGUAGAUGGAAAUACCUGAAUUAUUUUAAAACUGCGGUUGUAGUCUCUGUAUUUUUCAAGAAGGUUUCCAUCUAGUGAGGGUAAUCAAGCUCAGAGGUUUGAUUCCCCUCUCUCCUACCAGGAGUGAUACACAGUGUAAUGUAUGAAUACAAAUGUAGCAGAAGAUACAAACUGGUCCAACUGCUUAUUCAGAUUUGUCAGGCAGCAAGGAGGCAGAUUAAAUUCUCUCUAUCACUAACAGCAAGGCUGAUAGGAGAAACUCAACCAAAAGAAACAUAAGACCAAGACAUAGUUUUUAAAUCCUAUUCUUUGCUAAUUUCAAUUCACUAAGCUAGAAAUUCUUUAGGGGGAAUCUAGAGCACUAAGUCAAGGAUGCAAAUUUUCAGAUUUAGGCCUUUAUAUGUGGAAAUGGGAGAGUGGAACAAGCUUCUGUCAAGACCCACAGCUGAUGUAGGUUAUAUUAGCACUUGUAGAUGCAUAAAUGUUAACAGAUUACUAAAUCACAUCUCUAAAUAUUGCCUGAUGGUGGUAUGUUGAUAGGCCACAUUUAUACUAGUCCAAAUCUAUCUAUUUAUGUGAAGCUGUGCAUACCUAAAAAACAAACAAACAAACAAACAAACAAAAAAACAACCUGUAAGCAUUUCAUCUAGAAGCUCUUGAUCACCCAGUGGAGACUGACCACAUGCACCAGUACCCUGCUUGGUUCCCAUUUAGAGUUCCUACGGUGAAGAAGAGAAAGGAGAUCUGCAGUGUAUCACAGGAGUCCCCUUACAAGGAAGGUUAUCUGUUUAGGAGAGCUAGAGGAGAAAGUGAAGGGAAUUCCUUAAAUGUUGCAUCUUCACUAUCUGAAGAGCAGCUAACAGAUUCAGUUCUCUUGCUACUCUUUCUGGAAAUAAAGUUAAAAAUGAGAGGUGAUGGCCUUCAGUUGUGCCAGGGGAUGUUCAGGUUGGUUAUUAGGAAAAUAUUCUCAGAAAGAGUGGUGGUGCAGUGGCACAGGCUGCCCAGGGAGGUGGGGGAGUCGCUAUCCCUGGAGGUAUUCAAGAACCAUGGAGAUAUGGCACUGAGGGAUGCGGUCAGUGGGUGUAGUGGAGGUGGGCUGAUAGUAGGACUAGAUGAUUUUAGAGGUCUUUUCUUUAAAGAUACUAUGAGUCUAUGACACUGUGAUUUUCAUAAAAUGCACAGUUCUAGUUAUGGAAGAAGCAGAUAUAGUGUAUCUGACAGGUGGUGACAUUUAUCUUUCACAGUAAAUAAUCACCUGUAGUACAAGUAGAGGUAUCUGUAAUAAUACUUUACAAACAAGUUCUAGAGACAAGUUCUAACUGUUUGAAUUCACAUACUGUUUUUCAUCCAGGGACUGCAAAAUACUUUAUCACUGUGAUGGAUAUCAUUUUCCAAGGCAGAAACUAUUGGACAGAAUAUUCAAGACCUCAGCUUAUAGUUAUACAGACAGGCGGUAAUAGAAUUGGGAAUAAACUCCAUCUACCAGUUUAGAGUUGGUUUUUUGGGGGGGUUGCAGACAUCCCUACAAUAGGAAGGAAAAGAGGUUCACAAGUUUAUGCGCUGAUUACACGUUGUGUCAUCAAAUACUUUAAAAGCCCACAUGUGUGAUAGCUGGCAGAAAUGCUGGCAGAAGUACAGACUCUGAAGUGGUCAUACCAGGCCUGCUCAGAUAAGUCAUAUUCCUAUUCCAUGAAAUUAGCACGCUUAUGAGUUAUGCACUUUUGUUUGUCAGCAUUUUUCCUUAGCAUGCAUGUUCCAGAUUUCCACUACAUCAUUCAGAGGUUGGCAGGAAAGAAAAUUAAACUCUUGUGGUUGUUUUCACCACCAUACAACUUGCAAAGUCAUUUUUCAUCAAAUUUAACAGGUUAUCUGGGAAAAGACUAAUAAAUGGUGAGUGUUGCCUUUGACUUUCCCUUAGCAGAACUCAUUGUUACCUAAUUUUUGCAACAGAUUUCCUACCUCAUUUAAAACUUCAGCUAGAAGCAUUUUCCUGUUACAUAUUGCAAACAGACAUAUACAGCGACUCAAAAGCUUGGAUCGGGUUGUGCAGUCAAUAUAGCUUUUGGCAAAAGACUGGGAAGACUUCUUGCUGAAAGCUCAGAAUGAUAAAAAUAGGUCCCGAUUUUACAGUCACUGCGACAAACUGGUUUCAAAAAGCUUCACAACAGCACAAAAGGAACAAACUGGCAAAAGGGAAACGUGCUAGAUAGAUAUAUUUUUUCCCAGCAAGACUUGGGUUGACCACCUUUUGAGGCUUUCAGUGAGCUUAUAUCACUGCAUAUGGCAUGCACUGCACAAUGGAAACCAAGAAGUCAGCUUAGCAAGCAGCCAUUCUUUUCCAAAGAUUUUCUGUGAGCUCAACACAUUUAAUUCACAAUCACUUACAGAGCUUAUACAACCCCAUAAAAUAACCUACUCUCCUGAAUCAUCUCUUACCUACCAGAUAUAAUUUUCAUUAUCUUAUUUUUGUCACUUGAUCUCAUUUUUCUUGGGGUUCUAAAGGAUUUAACAACGAAAGAUAAGAAUGAGAUUAUCAGCACAAAAAUAGACAAUAAUUAAAUGUCAGUCAUGUCUGUGACAGAACAAAUGCAAUUCUGUAUCUCACUACUUUUGUUGCUGCCUGGUGCAAUACUCAUUAAAUAUUUUUACCGUUAA
Molecule: long non-coding RNA, 8184 nt
Organism: Gallus gallus (chicken)
Lineage: Eukaryota; Metazoa; Chordata; Aves; Galliformes; Phasianidae
Exons: 2
Source: RefSeq, a predicted model, not a curated record